UAGAUACCCUGGUAGUCCACGCCCUAAACUAUGUCGACUAGUUGUUGGGGGAGUCUGUCCCUCAGUAACGUAGCUAACGCGUGAAGUCGACCGCCUGGGGAGUACGGUCGCAAGAUUAAAACUCAAAGGAAUUGACGGGGACCCGCACAAGCGGUGGAUUAUGUGGAUUAAUUCGAUGCAACGCGAAGAACCUUACCUACCCUUGACAUGCCAGGAACCCUGCGGAGAUGCGGGGUGCCCGAAAGGGAACCUGGACACAGGUGCUGCAUGGCUGUCGUCAGCUCGUGUCGUGAGAUGUUGGGUUAAGUCCCGCAACGAGCGCAACCCUUGCCAUUAGUUGCUACAUUCAGUUGGGCACUCUAAUGGGGACUGCCGGUGACAAACCGGAGGAAGGUGGGGAUGACGUCAAGUCCUCAUGGCCCUUAUGGGUAGGGCUUCACACGUAAUACAAUGGCGCAUACAGAGGGCUGCAAACCCGGCGAGGGGGAGCCAAUCCCAAAAAGGUGCGUCGUAGUCCGGAUUGUUCUCUGCAACUCGAGAGC
Molecule: ribosomal RNA, 542 nt
Filed under: uncultured bacterium
Lineage: Bacteria
Description: bacterial SSU rRNA
Rfam family: Bacterial small subunit ribosomal RNA
Source: RNAcentral